This 457-nucleotide ribosomal RNA is filed under the name uncultured bacterium. RNAcentral's name for it is "bacterial SSU rRNA". It matches the Rfam family "Bacterial small subunit ribosomal RNA", at positions 30 to 469 of the family's 1533-position model. The record is from RNAcentral.
AUUGAACGCUGGCGGCAGGCCUAACACAUGCAAGUCGAGCGGAAACGAGUUAACUGAACCUUCGGGGAACGUUAAUGGCGUCGAGCGGCGGACGGGUGAGUAAUGCCUAGGAAAUUGCCCUGAUGUGGGGGAUAACCAUUGGAAACGAUGGCUAAUACCGCAUGAUGCCUACGGGCCAAAGAGGGGGACCUUCGGGCCUCUCGCGGUCAGGAUAUGCCUAGGUGGGAUUAGCUAGUUGGUGAGGUAAGGGCUCACCAAGGCAACGAUCCCUAGCUGGUCUGAGAGGAUGAUCAGCCACACUGGAACUGAGACACGGUCCAGACUCCUACGGGAGGCAGCAGUGGGGAAUAUUGCACAAUGGGCGCAAGCCUGAUGCAGCCAUGCCGCGUGUAUGAAGAAGGCCUUUCGGGUUGUAAAGUACUUUCAGUCGUGAGGAAGGCGUUGUCGUUAAUAGCGG